AGAGAGCUUUGAUUUCUCAAGUGUAGGUUCAAUCCCUAC
RNAcentral lists this transfer RNA (39 nucleotides) under Phyllodytes punctatus. RNAcentral describes it as "partial tRNA-Gln". Lineage: Eukaryota; Metazoa; Chordata; Amphibia; Anura; Hylidae. The record is from RNAcentral.